CAGGGGACGUGGAUAACCUCGGGAAACUGAGGAUAAACCGCGAUAGGUCAUCACUUCUGGAAUGGGUAAUGACUUAAAUCUAUAUGGCCCCUGGAUUGGACUGCGGCCGAUCAGGCUGUUGGUGAGGUAAUGGCCCACCAAACCUGUAACCGGUACGGGCUCUGAGAGGAGGAGCCCGGAGAUGGGCACUGAGACAAGGGCCCAGGCCCUAUGGGGCGCAGCAGGCGCGGAAACUYUGCAAUAGGCGAAAGCUCGACAGGGUUAYUCUGAAUGAUUUCCGUUAAGGAGAUCUUUUGGCACCUCUAAAAAUGGUGCAGAAUAAGGGGUGGGCAAGUCUGGUGUCAGCCGCCGCGGUAAUACCAGCACCCCGAGUGGUCGGGACGUUUAUUGGGCCUAAAGCAUCCGUAGCCGGUUCUACAAGUCUUCCGUUAAAUCCAACCUGCUUAACAGAUGGGCUGCGGAAGAUACUAUAGAGCUAGGAGGCGGGAGAGGCAAGCGGUACUCGAUGGGUAGGGGUAAAAUCCGUUGAUCCAUUGAAGACCACCAGUGGCGAAGGCGGCUUGCCAGAACGCGCUCGACGGUGAGGGAUGAAAGCUGGGGGAGCAAACCGGAUUAGAUACCCGGGUAGUCCCAGCUGUAAACGAUGCAGACUCGGUGAUGAGUUGGCUUAUUGCUAACUCAGUGCCGCAGGGAAGCCGUUAAGUUUGCCGCCUGGGGAGUACGGUCGCAAGAUGA
RNAcentral lists this ribosomal RNA (735 nucleotides) under uncultured crenarchaeote KBSCul13. RNAcentral's name for it is "bacterial SSU rRNA". It matches the Rfam family "Archaeal small subunit ribosomal RNA", at positions 114 to 852 of the family's 1478-position model. Lineage: Archaea; Thermoproteati; Thermoproteota. The record is from RNAcentral.